This is a long non-coding RNA of Acyrthosiphon pisum (pea aphid), 1349 nucleotides long. RefSeq lists it as uncharacterized. Lineage: Eukaryota; Metazoa; Arthropoda; Insecta; Hemiptera; Aphididae. The record is from RefSeq and is a predicted model, not a curated record. The transcript is spliced from 2 exons.
UAUAGUAAAUACUAAAUAUUGCGUUCGCUUGUUGUUGUGAGGUGCGCGACGAGACGAGACGCAAUAAUAAUUAAAACGCGUGACCUAAUAACCGUUUUCGUUAUUCAGUGUCUUCAGUCGUCGAAUAUUUUUUGUUCCGAACACACAAACGAUACGCCAACAAUUAUAAUAUAACAUCGACUAUCGUACUAAUAAAAUAGUAUCGUAACGUCGAUUUUCCAAAAUGAACUCUGGGCCGUUAGUACGCUACGCCAUGAUAACCGGUGACGUGCUGGAGACGACCAUCGGAAUGACUGGUUUGACGAUUGCGGCCGCUGCGACCGGCUGGGGCUUGCCAUCGGUCGCGGUCACUUCGGCCGCCGUCGGCGUGUACAAAGUAGUCAAGUUACUGUGGAGAAUACAGAGGAGAUUGCGGUGACAUCUGUCAUGACAAUAUCACGUACACUUUAUCAUUAUAUACAUCCAUAUACAGGACGAUUCGUUUGACGCUCCUUCUCAGUCACCUUGCUAUAUAGUCGGUUUUUGGUGUAAAACGUAUAAAAAGUUUUCGUAUGAGUCAAAUCUUGGAGGACCACUAAGCCCAAAUAAAUAACGAAUAUUAAUUUUAUGGUUUUUUGUUCGUAAGCAUUUGAGACUGUCUUAGAUGAGCUGACAGUACCAUAUUUUAAAAUAGUAAAUAUAUUCUACGACCCCCCCCCCCACCCCACCCCCAAGCAGUUCUUAUCCAAACUUUAAUUGCUUAUGAAUAGUUUAAUUAUCAGUACGAGAAAAAAAGUAAACGGCAAAAAUCGAAACGGUAAAAAAUUAUUGAACAAUCGACUGUAUUAGUAUGAACGUUUUGUGUCAAGACGAUCGUCCUGUAUAUACACAAACCAUAUACAUCUGAAAUCUUAUAGUCAGACAAUUCGUCUACAACCGCGCAGUUUUGCUGAUUCAAGAUGUGACAGUGGAUCGCAAACGCAGCCGCAGAGUAGAAAAAUACAACCAAAUAAUAUAAUGCUGGCCUAGUCGUAAACAUAAUAUAGCAACUCUUUGAACGUGUUUUUCUUGUAAGUGUAUAUCUGUGGUAACGCAGUACAUUAUUAUAUUAUGUAUAUAAUACAGUGUCGCUCAAAACGAAAUGUAAAUUUGUGUGUAUAUAUUAAGCUAAAAUAAAAAAAAAAAAAUAUUAUACGUUAUUUUUCUCCUAUGUAUGUGCAUAUAUUAUAAUAUAAUAUACUUAUAUGAUAUUAUUAUGUAAAUCGUUAAGUGCUAUUACAACAACGAUAUCAUGUCUAUGUAGUUAUAUAUCAUAUAAUGACGAUCUUCUGUAUAUAUAUAUAAUAUACCUACUAUAGUUGUUGUAGUUA